RNAcentral lists this ribosomal RNA (325 nucleotides) under uncultured soil bacterium. Its description in RNAcentral is "bacterial SSU rRNA". It matches the Rfam family "Bacterial small subunit ribosomal RNA", at positions 26 to 367 of the family's 1533-position model. The record is from RNAcentral.
AGAAUGAACGUUGGCGGCGUGGAUUAGGCAUGCAAGCCGUGCGAGAAGUCCUUUCGGGGAUGGACAGCGGCGAAAGGGAGAGUAACGGGUGGUUACAUACCCUCAGGCUCGGGAUAGUGUCGGGAAACUGACAGUAAUACCGAAUAAUAUCUUUGGAUCAAAGGUGUGAUUCCGCCUGGGGAUUGGACCGCUUUCUAUUAGCUUGUUGGUGAGGUAAUGGCUCACCAAGGCUCAGAUGGAUACCGGGUGUGAGAGCAUCGGCCCGGCUCACUGGGACUGAGACACUGCCCAGACACCUACGGGUGGCUGCAGUCGAGAAUCUUCG